CGAAUGCGAUACGCAUUGUGAAUUGCAGAUUUCAGUGAACCAUUAGAUUUCCGAACGCAUAUGGUGCUGUAGGGACUUCCCUGCAGCACGUCUGUUUCAGUGUCUUU
RNAcentral lists this ribosomal RNA (107 nucleotides) under Eimeria auburnensis. RNAcentral describes it as "partial 5.8S rRNA". It matches the Rfam family "5.8S ribosomal RNA", at positions 50 to 154 of the family's 154-position model. From Rfam's summary of the family: 5.8S ribosomal RNA (5.8S rRNA) is a component of the large subunit of the eukaryotic ribosome. Lineage: Eukaryota; Apicomplexa; Conoidasida; Eucoccidiorida; Eimeriidae. The record is from RNAcentral.